AAUGAUAAUGGACUCUUAUGAGCUGUGGUGAAACAACAACGACUUCAAUGAUAAUGGACUCUUAUGAGCUGUGGUGAAACAACAACGACUUCAAUGAUAAUGGACUCUUAUGAGCUGUGGUGAAACAACGACGACUUCAAUGAUAAUGGACUCUUAUGAGCUGUAGUGAAACAACAACGACUGCAGCAUGAAAGGAUCAGAUGUGAAGCAGAGGAGAUGGAGGAGAUGGAGGAGCAUGAAGAGAUGGAGGAGAUGGAGGAGGUGAUGGAGGUGAUGGAGGAGAUGGAGGAGAUGGAGGAGCAUGAGGAGAUGGAGGAGCAUGAAGAGCAUGAGGAGAUGGAGGAGAGAGAGGAGAGAGAAGAGAGAGAGGAGCAUGAGGAGAUGGAGGAGCAGGAGGAGAUGGAGGAGCCUGAGGAGAUGGAGGAGCAUGAGGAGGUGGAGGAGAUGGAGGAGAUGGAGGAGCAUGAGGAGAUGGAGGAGCAGGAGGAGAUGGAGGAGCAUGAGGAGAUGGAGGAGCAUGAGGAGAUGGAGGAGCAUGAGGAGAUGGAGGAGCAUGAGGAGAUGGAGGAGAGAGAGGAGAUGGAGGAGAGAGAGGAGAGAGAAGAGAGAGAGGAGCAUGAGGAGAUGGAGGAGCAUGAGGAGAUGGAGGAGGUGGAGGAGAUGGAGGAGAUGGAGGAGAAUGAGGAGAUGGAGGAGCAG
Long non-coding RNA from Clupea harengus (Atlantic herring), 699 nucleotides. Lineage: Eukaryota; Metazoa; Chordata; Actinopteri; Clupeiformes; Clupeidae. The record is from Ensembl.